AAAGCCUAUCAUCUUUAAAAUCAGCACUACCUAUUUUAUCUAAAACCAAAUCCAUUGUCUCAGACUCUGGGAAUGUUCUGUGUUUUUGAUGCCUCCCUAUCUUGACUGCUGGCCUCACUGUUCUAGUUACCCAGACCUAAAGCCUCUGGGUUUCUCUAUCUCCAUCCUAUCCCUCACUAAAUCCUACAUAUUCCACUCCAACACAUUUUCAAACUCUGUCUCCUCCUUUCCAUUUCUACUGCCCUGCUUUCUGGCCUUCUGUACUCCUUACCUGGAUCUCCUAACUUGCCUUCUAUCCUUCAAUCUCUGGUCUUCAAAUUCAUUCUUUACAUUUUAUCAAGGAGCACAGAUCUGAUUCUGUUACUUCUCUGUUCCAAAACAAAACAAACACAACAAAAAACUCCAAAAUCUCCCUGUUGCCUGAAAACCUUUCUGAACUCCAU
This 443-nucleotide long non-coding RNA is filed under the name Homo sapiens (human). RNAcentral describes it as "non-protein coding lnc-SH3RF2-7:1". Lineage: Eukaryota; Metazoa; Chordata; Mammalia; Primates; Hominidae. The record is from RNAcentral.